This 515-nucleotide ribosomal RNA is filed under the name Enterobacter sp. INBio2958G. Its description in RNAcentral is "bacterial SSU rRNA". It matches the Rfam family "Bacterial small subunit ribosomal RNA", at positions 153 to 657 of the family's 1533-position model. The record is from RNAcentral. Lineage: Bacteria; Pseudomonadati; Pseudomonadota; Gammaproteobacteria; Enterobacterales; Enterobacteriaceae.
GAAACGGGUAGCCUAAUACCGCAUAACGAUCUCAAGACCAAAGAGGGGGACCUUCGGGCCUCUUGCCAUCAGAUGUGCCCAGAUGGGAUUAGCUAGUAUGUGGGGUAACGGCUCACCUAGGCGACGAUCCCUAGCUGGUCUGAGAGGAUGACCAGCCACACUGGAACUGAGACACGGUCCAGACUCCUACGGGAGGCAGCAGUGGGGAAUAUUGCACAAUGGGCGCAAGCCUGAUGCAGCCAUGCCGCGUGUAUGAAGAAGGCCUUCGGGUUGUAAAGUACUUUCAGCGGGGAGGAAGGUGUUGAGGUUAAUAACCUCAGCAAUUGACGUUACCCGCAGAAGAAGCACCGGCUAACUCCGUGCCAGCAGCCGCGGUAAUACGGAGGGUGCAAGCGUUAAUCGGAAUUACUGGGCGUAAAGCGCAGCGCAGGCGGUCUGUCAAGUCGGAUGUGAAAUGCCCCGGGCUCAACCUGGGAAGCUUCAUUCGAAACUGGCAGGCUGGAGUCUUGUAGAGG